Molecule: ribosomal RNA, 623 nt
Filed under: uncultured anaerobic bacterium
Lineage: Bacteria
Description: bacterial SSU rRNA
Rfam family: Bacterial small subunit ribosomal RNA
Source: RNAcentral
GACGAACGCUGGCGGCGUGCCUAAUACAUGCAAGUCGAACGGUCUUUUCUAUGGAAGCUUGCUUCCACUGGGAAGAUAGUGGCGAACGGGUGAGUAACACGUGGGUAACCUGCCCAUAAGAGGGGGAUAACAUCCGGAAACGGGUGCUAAUACCGCAUAGUUUUUUUGAUCGCAUGAUCGGGAAAGGAAAGACGGCCUUUGUGCUGUCGCUUAUGGAUGGACCCGCGGCGUAUUAGUUAGUUGGGGAGGUAACGGCUCACCAAGACGAUGAUACGUAGCCGACCUGAGAGGGUGAUCGGCCACAUUGGGACUGAGACACGGCCCAAACUCCUACGGGAGGCAGCAGUAGGGAAUCUUCCGCAAUGGACGAAAGUCUGACGGAGCAACGCCGCGUGAGUGAAGAAGGUUUUCGGAUCGUAAAACUCUGUUGUCAGAGAAGAACAAGUCGGAGAGUAACUGCUCCGGCCUUGACGGUAUCUGACCAGAAAGCCACGGCUAACUACGUGCCAGCAGCCGCGGUAAUACGUAGGUGGCAAGCGUUGUCCGGAUUUAUUGGGCGUAAAGCGAGCGCAGGCGGUUCCUUAAGUCUGAUGUGAAAGCCCACGGCUCAACCGUGGAAGGUC